Molecule: ribosomal RNA, 466 nt
Filed under: uncultured bacterium
Lineage: Bacteria
Description: partial 16S ribosomal RNA
Rfam family: Bacterial small subunit ribosomal RNA
Source: RNAcentral
GAUGAACGCUGGCGGCGUGCUUAACACAUGCAAGUCGAACGAUGAAGCCCAGCUUGCUGGGUGGUUUAGUGGCGAACGGGUGAGUAACACGUGAGUAACCUGCCCUUAACUCUGGGAUAAGCCUGGGAAACUAGGUCUAAUACCGGAUAGGAGCGCCUACCGCAUGGUGGGCGUUGGAAAGAUUUAUCGGUUUUGGAUGGACUCGCGGCCUAUCAGCUUGUUGGUGAGGUAAUGGCUCACCAAGGCGACGACGGGUAGCCGGCCUGAGAGGGUGACCGGCCACACUGGGACUGAGACACGGCCCAGACUCCUACGGGAGGCAGCAGUGGGGAAUAUUGCACAAUGGGCGCAAGCCUGAUGCAGCGACGCCGCGUGAGGGAUGACGGCCUUCGGGUUGUAAACCUCUUUCAGUAGGGAAGAAGCGAAAGUGACGGUACCUGCAGAAGAAGCACCGGCUAACUACGUG